AUCGCUUCUCGGCCUUAUGGCUAAGAUCAAGCAUAGUGUCUGUUCUUAUCAGUUUAAUAUCUGAUAUGUCCUUUAUUUAAGGACUAUAUAUUAAAUUGAUUUUUGGAACAGGGGGAUGGAAUAGGAGCUUGCUCUGUCCACCCCAUGCAUUGACCCGGUAUUGCAGGGCCUCCAGGAACGGAAGGAAUGCAUCCGAU
This 197-nucleotide small nuclear RNA is filed under the name Chelonia mydas (Green sea turtle). RNAcentral's name for it is "U2 spliceosomal RNA". It matches the Rfam family "U2 spliceosomal RNA". Rfam says of the family: U2 is a small nuclear RNA (snRNA) component of the spliceosome (involved in pre-mRNA splicing). Lineage: Eukaryota; Metazoa; Chordata; Testudines; Cheloniidae. The record is from Rfam by way of RNAcentral.